This 247-nucleotide ribosomal RNA is filed under the name uncultured bacterium. Its description in RNAcentral is "partial small subunit ribosomal RNA". It matches the Rfam family "Bacterial small subunit ribosomal RNA", at positions 26 to 285 of the family's 1533-position model. The record is from RNAcentral.
AGAAUCAACGCUGGCGGCGUGCCUAACACAUGCAAGUCGCACGAGAAAGGGGAGCAAUCCCUGAGUAAAGUGGCGCACGGGUGAGUAACACGUGAAUAAUCUACCUCCGAGUGGGGAAUAACUGAGAGAAAUCUUAGCUAAUACCGCAUAACACUUACGAGUCAAAGCAGCAAUGCGCUUGGGAGAGGAGUUCGCGGCCGAUUUAGUUAGUUGGCGGGGUAAUGGCCCACCAAGACGAUGAUCGGUA